UACGUAGGGUGCAAGCGUUGUCCGGAAUUAUUGGGCGUAAAGAGUUCGUAGGCGGUUUGUCGCGUCCGUUGUGAAAGCUUGGGGCUCAACCCCAAGUCUGCGGUCGAUACGGGCAGGCUAGAGUUCGGUAGGGGAGACUGGAAUUCCUGGUGUAGCGGUGAAAUGCGCAGAUAUCAGGAGGAACACCGGUGGCGAAGGCGGGUCUCUGGGCCGAUACUGACGCUGAGGAGCGAAAGCGUGGGGAGCGAACAGG
Molecule: ribosomal RNA, 253 nt
Filed under: uncultured bacterium
Lineage: Bacteria
Description: partial 16S ribosomal RNA
Rfam family: Bacterial small subunit ribosomal RNA
Source: RNAcentral